UACAGAGGUGGCAAGCGUUGUUCGGAAUUACUGGGCGUAAGGGCGCGUAGGCGGUUCGUUAAGUCCUGUGUGAAAUCCCCCGGCUCAACUGGGGAACUGCACAGGAAACUAGCGGGCUUGAGUUCGGGAGAGGGAAGCGGAAUUCCGGGUGUAGCGGUGAAAUGCGUAGAUAUCCGGAGGAACACCGGUGGCGAAGGCGGCUUCCUGGACCGACACUGACGCUGAGGCGCGAAAGCCAGGGGAGCAAACGGG
This 252-nucleotide ribosomal RNA is filed under the name uncultured bacterium. RNAcentral describes it as "partial 16S ribosomal RNA". It matches the Rfam family "Bacterial small subunit ribosomal RNA", at positions 524 to 776 of the family's 1533-position model. The record is from RNAcentral.